AAAUUUGAAUAUCUCCGAGUGUAUAAGCCUAAGGCUUAGCUAAGGUUUAUACACCGGUUGGGCGUUAAAGCCCCCAGGGUAUAAGUGGAAACGCUUAUGCCUCCCGACUUGGAAAGGAGAUGCUGGUUAUAACGC
RNAcentral lists this non-coding RNA (135 nucleotides) under Deferribacter desulfuricans. RNAcentral's name for it is "MoCo sequence". It matches the Rfam family "Molybdenum/Tungsten riboswitch aptamer (Moco RNA motif)". Lineage: Bacteria; Pseudomonadati; Deferribacterota; Deferribacteres; Deferribacterales; Deferribacteraceae. The record is from RNAcentral. RNAcentral also lists the same sequence under 1 other name.